This 246-nucleotide ribosomal RNA is filed under the name uncultured bacterium. RNAcentral's name for it is "partial 16S ribosomal RNA". It matches the Rfam family "Bacterial small subunit ribosomal RNA", at positions 531 to 776 of the family's 1533-position model. The record is from RNAcentral.
GGGGCUAGCGUUGCUCGGAAUCACUGGGCGUAAAGCGCACGUAGGCGGGUCCUUAAGUCAGGGGUGAAAUCCCGGAGCUCAACUCCGGAACUGCCUUUGAUACUGGGGAUCUUGAGUCCGGAAGAGGUGAGUGGAACUCCGAGUGUAGAGGUGAAAUUCGUAGAUAUUCGGAAGAACACCAGUGGCGAAGGCGGCUCACUGGUCCGGUACUGACGCUGAGGUGCGAAAGCGUGGGGAGCAAACAGG